CAGAUUCACUUCGGUGAUGACGCUGGGAACGCGAGCGGCGGAUGGGUGAGUAACACGUGGGUAACCUGCCCUAAAGUCUGGGAUACCACUUGGAAACAGGUGCUAAUACCGGAUAACAACAAUAGCUGCAUGGCUAUUGCUUAAAAGGCGGCGAAAGCUGUCGCUAAAGGAUGGACCCGCGGUGCAUUAGCUAGUUGGUAAGGUAAUGGCUACCAAGGCGACGAUGCAUAGCCGAGUUGAGAGACUGAUCGGCCACAUUGGGACUGAGACACGGCCCAAACUCCUACGGGAGGCAGCAGUAGGGAAUCUUCCACAAUGGGCGAAAGCCUGAUGGAGCAACGCCGCGUGAGUGAAGAAGGUUUUCGGAUCGUAAAGCUCUGUUGUUGGUGAAGAAGGAUAGAGGUAGUAACUGGCCCCUAUUUGACGGUAAUCAACCAGAAAGUCACGGCUAACUACGUGCCAGCAGCCGCGGUAAUACGUAGGUGGCAAGCGUUGUCCGGAUUUAUUGGGCGUAAAGCGAGCGCAGGCGGAAAGAUAAGUCUGAUGUGAAAGCCCCCGGCUUAACCGAGGAAUUGCAUCGGAAACUGUGUUUCUUGAGUGCAGAAGAGGAGAGUGGAACUCCAUGUGUAGCGGUGGAAUGCGUAGAUAUAUGGAAGAACACCAGUGGCGAAGGCGGCUCUCUGGUCUGUAACUGACGCUGAGGCUCGAAAGCAUGGGUAGCGAACAGGAUUAGAUACCCUGGUAGUCCAUGCCG
This 754-nucleotide ribosomal RNA is filed under the name uncultured bacterium. RNAcentral's name for it is "bacterial SSU rRNA". It matches the Rfam family "Bacterial small subunit ribosomal RNA", at positions 70 to 802 of the family's 1533-position model. The record is from RNAcentral.